UACGAAGGGGGCUAGCGUUGCUCGGAAUGACUGGGCGUAAAGGGCGCGUAGGCGGGUCGUUUAGUUAGAGGUGAAAGCCCAGGGCUCAACCCUGGAAUAGCCUUUAAUACUGGCGGCCUUGAGUAUGGCAGAGGUGUGUGGAACUCCGAGUGUAGAGGUGAAAUUCGUAGAUAUUAGGAAGAACACCAGUGGCGAAGGCGACUUACUGGACUGUAACUGACGCUGAGGCAUGAAAGCGUGGGGAGCAAACAGG
This 253-nucleotide ribosomal RNA is filed under the name uncultured bacterium. RNAcentral describes it as "partial 16S ribosomal RNA". It matches the Rfam family "Bacterial small subunit ribosomal RNA", at positions 524 to 776 of the family's 1533-position model. The record is from RNAcentral.